This 461-nucleotide ribosomal RNA is filed under the name uncultured bacterium. Its description in RNAcentral is "bacterial SSU rRNA". It matches the Rfam family "Bacterial small subunit ribosomal RNA", at positions 331 to 792 of the family's 1533-position model. The record is from RNAcentral.
CCAGACUCCUACGGGAGGCAGCAGUGGGGAAUAUUGCACAAUGGGGGAAACCCUGAUGCAGCGACGCCGCGUGAGUGAAGAAGUAUUUCGGUAUGUAAAGCUCUAUCAGCAGGGAAGAAAUAAAGUCCUUCGGACUUUGGACGGUACCUGACUAAGAAGCCCCGGCUAACUACGUGCCAGCAGCCGCGGUAAUACGUAGGGGGCAAGCGUUAUCCGGAUUUACUGGGUGUAAAGGGAGCGUAGACGGCAUAGCAAGUCUGAAGUGAAAGCCCAAGGCUCAGCCAUGGGACUGCUUUGGAAACUGUUAAGCUAGAGUGCUGGAGAGGUAAGCGGAAUUCCUAGUGUAGCGGUGAAAUGCGUAGAUAUUAGGAAGAACACCAGUGGCGAAGGCGGCUUACUGGACAGUAACUGACGUUGAGGCUCGAAAGCGUGGGGAGCAAACAGGAUUAGAUACCCCGGUA